RNAcentral lists this ribosomal RNA (372 nucleotides) under uncultured bacterium. RNAcentral describes it as "bacterial SSU rRNA". It matches the Rfam family "Bacterial small subunit ribosomal RNA", at positions 524 to 898 of the family's 1533-position model. The record is from RNAcentral.
UACGGAGGAUCCAAGCGUUAUCCGGAUUUAUUGGGUUUAAAGGGUGCGUAGGCGGCUUGUUAAGUCAGGGGUGAAAGACGAUGGCUCAACCAUCGCAGUGCCUUUGAUACUGACGAGCUUGAAUGUACUUGAGGUAGGCGGAAUGUGACAAGUAGCGGUGAAAUGCAUAGAUAUGCCACAGAACACCGAUUGCGAAGGCAGCUUACUAAAGUAUGAUUGACGCGGAGGCACGAAAGCGUGGGGAUCAAACAGGAUUAGAUACCCUGGUAGUCCACGCCCUAAACGAUGACUACGCGAUGUUGGCGAUAUACAGUCAGCGUCCAAGCGAAAGCGUUAAGUAUUCCACCUGGGGAGUACGGCCGCAAGGUUGAA